AUCCAGCACCGCGGCCGCGCGACUGGUCGCUCCGCCGCCGCCUCCCGGGUGCUGUCGCCCGCCCAGCGGAGCAGGGGAAGCGCUGAGCCCACGCUGGCCCCGCUCCUCUCCGUUGCCGGGUCCGCUCCCACGGGCUCGGCCCCCAGACCCUCAGUGGCACCCACCCUGUGCGGCCCUCGUGUGGCCCCAGCCCCGCUCCCCGUCCCCGUUCCACAGACGCUGGGGCGCAGGGGCGGCUCCGCCCUGCCCUUCACCCGCACGGUAGAGGGGUCACGGCUCACCGCAGCCUCCGCCUCCGGGCUCCAGCGGUCCUCGCAGGCGCGCCCCACCACGCUCAGCUAAUUUUUUCUUAUUUUUUAUAGAGAUGCGGUCUCCUGAAAAGUAGCCACUCUUUUUUGUUUUGUUUUGUUUUGUUUGGGGGGCGGGGGACAGAGUCUUGCUCUUUCGCCAGGCUGGAGUGCAGUGGCGCGAUCUCGGCUCGGAAUCUCCACCUCCCGGGCUCAAGCGAUUCUCCCGUCUCAGCUUCCGGAGUAGCUGGGACUACAGGCGCGCGCCACCACGCCCGGUUAAUUUUUUUGUAUUUUAGUAGAGACAGGGUUUCACCAUGUUGGCCAGGAUGGUCUCGAUAUCCUGACCUCGUGAUCCGCCUUCCUCGGCCUCCCAAAGUGCUGGGAUUACAAGCGUGAGCCACGCGCCCGGCCUUUUUUUUUUUUUUUUUUUAAGAGACCGGCCCACUAUGUUGCCCAGGCAGAUCUCGAACUGCUGAGCUCAAGCGAUCCUCCCGCCUCCCCUCCCGAAGUGCUAGGAUUCCAGGUGUGGCCACCGCGCCCACCACUUCCUUGCCUCCUCUCCCAAGCUUGCCCUCCUGUCUCCUGCUUUCCCUUAGACAAACUCAUAUGAUCCUGGGCCCGCGCAGAUAAUCUGGCAUAAUCUCAAAAUCCUUAAUCCCAUCUCUGGGGCCACAAUUCAACCAACUACAAGCUUGAAUUUGGGGAAUGAGCCAUGGAGGUGUUGGGGAGAGCGUGUUCCUGGCAGUGCAAGAGCCAGGAGGCAGGAGACAGCCGUCUGCAGCAGCCCCACUCCCGCCCUCCAGGGGCUGUGCCUUCUCCUACAGAAACAACCGAUAUGUCGGCAGGUGAAUGGAAAAACUGUGGUACCUACAGACAAUGGAAUACUAUGCAGCUCUAAAAAGAAAUGAGGCCAGGCACAGUGGCUCAUGCCCGUAAUCCUAACGCUUUGGGAGGCCAGGAGGGCGGAUCACUUAAGGCCAGGAGUUUGAGACCAGCCUGGCCAGCGUGGCAAAACCCGUCUCUAAAAAUACAAAAAUCUCUCUCCCUCUCCCUCUCGCUCUCGCUCUCGCUCUCGCUCUCCCUCCCCCUCCCCCUCUCGCUCUCGCUCUCCCCACGGUCUCCCUCUCCCUCUCUUUCCACGGUCUCCCUCUGAUGCCGAGCGGAAGCUGGACGGUACUGCUGCCAUCUCGGCUCACUGCAACCUCCCUGCCUGAUUCUCCUGCCUCAGCCUGCCGAGUGCCUGCGAUUGCAGGCGCGCGCCGCCACGCCUGACUGGUUUUCCUAUUUUUUUGGUGGAGAUGGGGUUUCGCUGUGUUGGCGGGGCUGGUCUCCAGCUCCUAACCGCGAGUGAUCCGCCAGCCUCCGCCUCCCGAGGCGCCGGGAUUGCAGACGGGAGUCUCGUUCACUCAGUGCUCAAUGGUGCCCAGGCUGGAGUGCAGUGGCGUGAUCUCGGCUCGCUACAACCUCCACCUCCCACCCGCCUGCCUUGGCCCCCCCAAAGUGCUGAGAUUGCAGCCUCUGCCCGGCCGCCACCCCGUCUGGGAAGUGAGGAGCUUCUCUGCCUGGCCGCCCAUCGUCUGGGAUGUGAGGAGCCCCUCUGCCUGGCUGCCCAGUCUGGAAAGUGAGGAGCGUCUCUGCCCGGCCGCCCAUCGUCUGAGAUGUGGGGAGCACCUCUGCCCUGCCGCCCCGUCUGGGAUGCGAGGAGCGUCUCUGCCCGGCUGCCCCGUCUGAGAAGUGAGGAGCCCCUCUGCCUGCCAACCGCCCCGUCUGGGAAGUGAGGAGCGUCUCCGCCCGGCAGCCACCCCGUCCUGGAGGGAGGUGGGGGUCAGCCCCCACCAGGCCAGCCACCCCGUCAGGGAGGUGAGGGGCGCCUCUGCCCGGCCGCCCCUACUGGGAAGUGAGGAGCCCCCUCUGCCCGGCCACCACCCCGUCUGGGAGGUGUACCCAACAGCUCAUUGAGAACGGGCCAUGAUGACAAUGGCGGUUUUGUGGAAUACAAAGGGGGGAAGGUGGGGAAAAGAUUGAGAAAUCAGAUGGUUGCCGUGUCUGUGUAGAAAGAGGUAGACAUGGGAGACUUUUCAUUUUGUUCUGUACUAAGAAAA
RNAcentral lists this long non-coding RNA (2392 nucleotides) under Homo sapiens (human). RNAcentral's name for it is "non-protein coding lnc-DDX51-3:2". The record is from RNAcentral. Lineage: Eukaryota; Metazoa; Chordata; Mammalia; Primates; Hominidae.